RNAcentral lists this ribosomal RNA (305 nucleotides) under uncultured bacterium. RNAcentral describes it as "bacterial SSU rRNA". It matches the Rfam family "Bacterial small subunit ribosomal RNA", at positions 335 to 658 of the family's 1533-position model. The record is from RNAcentral.
UUUCCUACGGGGGGCAGCAGUGGGGAAUAUUGCACAAUGGGGGAAACCCUGAUGCAGCGACGCCGCGUGGAGGAAGAAGGUCUUCGGAUUGUAAACUCCUGUCCUUGGGGACGAUAAUGACGGUACCCAAGGAGGAAGCACCGGCUAACUACGUGCCAGCAGCCGCGGUAAUACGUAGGGGGCAAGCGUUAUCCGGAUUCAUUGGGUUUAAAGGGUGCGCAGGCGGCGAGUUAAGUCAGCGGUAAAAUUUCGGGGCUCAACCCCGACAAGCCGUUGAAACUGGCUUGCUAGAGUGGGCGAGAAGU